RNAcentral lists this transfer RNA (65 nucleotides) under Climacostomum virens. It matches the Rfam family "tRNA", at positions 5 to 66 of the family's 71-position model. From Rfam's summary of the family: Transfer RNA (tRNA) molecules are approximately 80 nucleotides in length. Their secondary structure includes four short double-helical elements and three loops (D, anti-codon, and T loops). Lineage: Eukaryota; Ciliophora; Heterotrichea; Heterotrichida; Climacostomidae. The record is from RNAcentral.
CUGUUUGGUCUAGUGGUAUGAUUCUCGCUUUGGGUGCGAGAGGCCGCGGGUUCGAUUCCCGCAAC